GGUCUGAUACCUCCGUCUGGAAAUACUUGUCGACGGAAAUACUUGUCGGAGAAAUGGAUGUAUCUAGACAUAUUUUAGUUCUAAAUACAUCCAUUUUUAUCCAUUUCUCUGACAAGUAUUUUCGGACGGAGGGAGUAGUUU
Molecule: non-coding RNA, 141 nt
Organism: Triticum aestivum (bread wheat)
Lineage: Eukaryota; Viridiplantae; Streptophyta; Magnoliopsida; Poales; Poaceae
Source: Rfam